GGGGCUGACAAAGCUUAGACGGAUUAUUAACAGAUAUCAGGCAUGACGAUUGAUACCGUAAGUAUUGAAUAAGUGAAGAAACAACUUCAAAGCACGUGCUUUAUGCACCUGUUUACGCCUAAUUAUUUAUAGGCCGGUUUAGAUAUAGUUUUCCGGAUGAUCUAAAUUGUUAUAAAAUAGGAAAUAGGGGUAGUCCAUUGAUGGGGACUACUUAGAAAAAAUAGUCAUGACGACUAGUAGUUUUGUUCCGUUGCCGCUACUAGUGUAAGUCGAGAUGAAACAAGGAACUAUGCAUGUAGAAUGAUAUCAUGGAGAUUUUUCGGACCCGGAGGCAGUAUCCGGCAGCUCCACCA
RNAcentral lists this transfer-messenger RNA (353 nucleotides) under Candidatus Saccharimonadota bacterium. It matches the Rfam family "transfer-messenger RNA". Rfam says of the family: Bacterial tmRNA, also known as 10Sa RNA or SsrA, is named for its dual tRNA and mRNA-like properties. The record is from RNAcentral. RNAcentral also lists the same sequence under 1 other name. Lineage: Bacteria; Candidatus Saccharimonadota.